Long non-coding RNA from Vicia villosa (hairy vetch), 917 nucleotides. RefSeq lists it as uncharacterized. The transcript has 4 exons. The record is from RefSeq and is a predicted model, not a curated record. NCBI's taxonomy places the organism in Eukaryota, Viridiplantae, Streptophyta, Magnoliopsida, Fabales, Fabaceae.
GAAAGUUUGGUGCUUAUGUUGCUUUGCUUUGAUUCUAUGUAAACUCUUAUGCUUUUCUUUGUGAUUUUUUAUGUUAUGGGAAACUUAACUCAUUUUCUAUUUCAUCUUGAUUCAAGGACCAUUGGUGAUGUUGAAUAGGUGAUGGAAACUUAAAGAAAAGCAAAAGAAAUCAAGCUUUGGAAAAUAGCCAUGGAAGAGAAAGUUUAGACUUCAAGUUUUUUUGACUUACUUGAUUCAUUAUUAAACUUAUUACUUUCUUUGUCUUUAUUACUGUUCUGAGUUCAAUAUUUGUUGUGUUCACUGGUGUUACAAUUCAGUUUUGUUUAUUUUCGUAAGUUAAGACUUUAUAAUUACUGGAAUAUGUCUCUGGUGUUUCUAUCCAUUAAUUACUUCAGGAAUAUGGACCGUUCAAGGAGCCUGUUAUUCAAAAUUAUACCAGCAUAUUGUCUCUGGACUUGCGUAUCUAUAUGGACCGUACACAAGCAUAUUGUCUCUGGACUUGCGUAUCUAUAUGGACCGUACACAGGGGCUAACAUACUGGUUGUUCUUAAUGGUGAAAUCAAACUAGCAGACUUUGGAAUGGCUAAGCAUUUAACUUCUGCUGCUUCAAUGUUUUCAUUCAAAUGAAGUCCGUACUAGAUGGCACCUGAGGUUGUAAUGAACACAAAUGGCUAUAGCCUUCCGGUUGAUAUAGGGAGCUUAGGAUGCACACUUAUUGAAAUGGCAACGUAAGAAUGAUCUCACUCCGGAGGAAGAGGAGGAAGUUUGUCAUAAAAAUCAGUGGGCUUUUGAAUGAAUUUCUUCAAGGAUAUGUCUAGUGGGUUUAUGUUAUAUAUCUUUUUAUUCAUAGAAGAAUUUUAAGUUAGGUCUAUCUAAGUUUAUUAGUACUUGAUUAUCUUUUGGUUUAUGUUUGUUGA